AUGCCUACUACGUAGGAAAAAAAUCUGGAACCUCUUGCCCUGCAAGUUUCUACUUUCUACAGAAGUUGAAGUUCCAUCCGACUCCAUGGCCAUUCAUUCUUCCACUCUAAUACCAUCCUCAUUCGGAGGCGCCAAGCAUUCAAAACCUAAACUUCUAAAGUCUUGCUCACUUCCCUCCAACCCACCUCCUUUAGUUUCAUUUCCUUAUCGACACCGCCACCGCAAAGCGUUGAGAAUUUCGGCCUCUGUGUCGGUCUCCAACCCGGAGGUGCGGACCGGUUCCGAUGAUCUUGUUGCGUCUAUCCUCUCCAAGGUCACACAAACAGAUCGAGGAGUUUUGCUGAAAAAUGAAGAGCAUAAAGAGGUAGCUGCAGUGGCCGAAGAAUCGCAGAAAUAUUGUGUUAAUGAGCCUGUGAAAUGUCGUCUCAUAUUUGGUGAGUGGAUGUCGUUUACUGCUCAGUUCCAACAUCACCUGGUGGUGGCUACUGGAGUGCUUUGGGCCGCCUUGUUUUCAAAACCAAGAAAUGAUACAGGUUGUUGAUGCACCUGAAACUGUCAGGAACAAGGUCUCCUUUUCUGCUUUUGGGUUUCUGGAUGGGGAAGUCUCUUUGACAGGGACACUGACGGCUCUUGAUGAUAGAUAGAUAGAUAAGAUUGUGUUUGAGCGACCUGAACUGAAGAUAGGAGCACUGGAAUUCAGAUACGGCGGUCAUAGCGAGGUUAAACUUCAAAUAACGUACAUAAAUGACAAGAUCAGGCUCGGGAAGGGCUCUAGAGGCUCUCUAUUUGUUUUCCAGGGGCGCAAUUAAACUGCCUACCUUAAAGGUCUAUCACUUGGAUAACAUUUUUUCUUUCAUCGCCUAAUGUGUAAUAUCUCUGUAGUUUUGUAUAGGCCUGUAAACCGAACUGUCAGCGUCGGUUUCGGUGGUAAACCGAUACACUACCGACACAUUAAUUCUCCAAAGAUCUCGACCGAAACCGAUUGAUAGGGAAGAAGAAAACCGGCUGGAGUUUGAUCGGUCGGCACCGAUCGGUUUGAUGGUUUGGGGAUCGGUUUCCACUUUCCAAGUGCAGUGGGACUUCAACGGCGAGGACGAGGUGGUGGCUCAUGCCGCGUGCGAGGUUGUGGUUUGACGACAGAGUAGAGAAGAGAGAGAGAGAGAGAGAGAGGUGACGGCGACGGCACGAAGAAGAAAAGAGAAGAAGCAGUCUGGCUAACCCUAAACUAAACAGUGCCGUUUGAGUUUUUUUUAUUUUUUUUUUGUAUCUGCAUCAUCAAAACGACGCCGUUUCACUUAAGUGAAGUGAAACGGCGUCAUUUCAUUUAAACAUAUUUGAAAAAAAAUAAGGAUAGUUGAGGUCGGCCGAUUCAGCGGUUUUUCACUGGGUCAAACCGUGAACCGAACCGGCCGACAUCGGUUUGGCUUAAUUCCUACUGCCGGCCGACCGGUUCUCUGACAGUUUCGGCCAGUUUCCUGCUCCGGCUGCCGGUCUGAUCAGUUCCGACCGGUUUCCGGGUUUUCUGUACAGUCCUAGUUUUGUACCAUAAAAGCUAUUCUCCACGGCACUCUCUCUAAAUAAACAUCGCCAAACUUUACAUGAUCUGGUUAUGUAUGGAUGGUGAGAUGAAUUGUGUUAACUUGUGAAUAAUAAUAUUUUGUAAAUUCUAUUGAGAUAGA
Carya illinoinensis is the source of this 1679-nucleotide RNA transcript. It is a transcript of the gene named probable plastid-lipid-associated protein 8, chloroplastic, with no coding region annotated. NCBI's taxonomy places the organism in Eukaryota, Viridiplantae, Streptophyta, Magnoliopsida, Fagales, Juglandaceae. The transcript has 4 exons. The record is from RefSeq and is a predicted model, not a curated record.